GAAGGCCUUCGGGUUGUAAAGCACUUUAAGCAGGGAGAAAAAGUUAUAAGUUAAUACCUUAUAACCCUGAUGUUACCUGCAGAAUAAGCACCGGCUAAUUCCGUGCCAGCAGCCGCGGUAAUACGGAAGGUGCAAGCGUUAAUCGGAAUUACUGGGCGUAAAGCGCGCGUAGGUGGUUUGUUAAGUUGGAUGUGAAAGCCCUGGGCUCAACCUAGGAACUGCAUCCAAAACUAACUCACUAGAGUACGAUAGAGGGAGGUAGAAUUCAUAGUGUAGCGGUGGAAUGCGUAGAUAUUAUGAAGAAUACCAGUGGCGAAGGCGGCCUCCUGGAUCUGUACUGACACUGAGGUGCGAAAGCGUGGGUAGCGAACAGGAUUAGAUACCCUGGUAGUCCACGCCGUAAACGAUGUCAACUAGCUGUUGGGAGACUAUUUCUUUCAGUGGCGCAGCUAACGCUU
RNAcentral lists this ribosomal RNA (458 nucleotides) under uncultured Gammaproteobacteria bacterium. RNAcentral's name for it is "bacterial SSU rRNA". It matches the Rfam family "Bacterial small subunit ribosomal RNA", at positions 410 to 860 of the family's 1533-position model. Lineage: Bacteria; Pseudomonadati; Pseudomonadota; Gammaproteobacteria. The record is from RNAcentral.